AUAUAUAAAGGACUGUGGGUUGUAU
RNAcentral lists this non-coding RNA (25 nucleotides) under Cricetulus griseus (Chinese hamster). Lineage: Eukaryota; Metazoa; Chordata; Mammalia; Rodentia; Cricetidae. The record is from RNAcentral.